GUUCACUGCCGCACAGGCAGCUUAGAAA
Molecule: non-coding RNA, 28 nt
Organism: Methylophaga frappieri
Lineage: Bacteria; Pseudomonadati; Pseudomonadota; Gammaproteobacteria; Thiotrichales; Piscirickettsiaceae
Source: Rfam